GACGAACGCUGGCGGCGUGCUUAACACAUGCAAGUCGAACGGAAAGGCCCUGCUUUUGUGGGGUGCUCGAGUGGCGAACGGGUGAGUAACACGUGAGUAACCUGCCCUUGACUUUGGGAUAACUUCAGGAAACUGGUGCUAAUACCGGAUAGGAGCUCCUGCUGCAUGGUGGGGGUUGGACAGCUUCGGCGGUUGGGGAUGGACUCGCGGCUUAUCAGCUUGUUGGUGGGGUAGUGGCUUACCAAGGCUUUGACGGGUAGCCGGCCUGAGAGGGUGACCGGCCACAUUGGGCCUGAGAGACGGCCCAGACUCCUACGGGAGGCAGCAGUGGGGAGUAUUGCACAGUGGGCGGAAGCCUGAUGCAGCAACGCCGCGUGCGGGAUGACGGCCUUCGGGUUGUAAACCGCAUUCGCCUGUGACGAAGCGUGAGUGACGGUAAUGGGUAAAGAAGCACCGGCUAACUACGUG
Molecule: ribosomal RNA, 468 nt
Filed under: uncultured bacterium
Lineage: Bacteria
Description: partial 16S ribosomal RNA
Rfam family: Bacterial small subunit ribosomal RNA
Source: RNAcentral